RNAcentral lists this transfer RNA (76 nucleotides) under Pseudomonadota bacterium. RNAcentral's name for it is "tRNA-Lys". It matches the Rfam family "tRNA". Rfam says of the family: Transfer RNA (tRNA) molecules are approximately 80 nucleotides in length. Their secondary structure includes four short double-helical elements and three loops (D, anti-codon, and T loops). The record is from RNAcentral. RNAcentral also lists the same sequence under 2 other names. Lineage: Bacteria; Pseudomonadati; Pseudomonadota.
GCGCCGGUAGCUCAGUCGGCAGAGCACCGGACUUUUAAUCCGGGGGUCGCAGGUUCGAUUCCUGCCCGGCGCACCA